RNAcentral lists this ribosomal RNA (450 nucleotides) under uncultured bacterium. RNAcentral's name for it is "partial 16S ribosomal RNA". It matches the Rfam family "Bacterial small subunit ribosomal RNA", at positions 354 to 796 of the family's 1533-position model. The record is from RNAcentral.
GUGGGGAAUAUUGGACAAUGGGCGAAAGCCUGAUCCAGCCAUGCCGCGUGUGUGAAGAAGGUCUUCGGAUUGUAAAGCACUUUAAGUUUGGAGGAAGGGCAGUAAGUUAAUACCUUGCUGUUUUGACGUUACCGACAGAAUAAGCACCGGCUAACUUCGUGCCAGCAGCCGCGGUAAUACGAAGGGUGCAAGCGUUAAUCGGAAUUACUGGGCGUAAAGCGCGCGUAGGUGGUUUUGUAAGUUGGAGGUGAAAUCCCCGGGCUCAACCUGGGAACUGCCUCCAAAACUGCAUGACUAGAGUACGGUAGAGGGUAGUGGAAUUUCCUGUGUAGCGGUGAAAUGCGUAGAUAUAGGAAGGAACACCAGUGGCGAAGGCGACUACCUGGACUGAUACUGACACUGAGGUGCGACAGCGUGGGGAGCAAACAGGCUUAGAAACCCGGGUAGUCC